This 96-nucleotide small RNA is filed under the name Pyrococcus horikoshii OT3. Its description in RNAcentral is "SscA RNA". It matches the Rfam family "SscA RNA". Rfam says of the family: The SscA ncRNA gene was identified computationally in AT-rich hyperthermophiles using QRNA. The record is from Rfam by way of RNAcentral. Lineage: Archaea; Methanobacteriati; Methanobacteriota; Thermococci; Thermococcales; Thermococcaceae.
AGGGAAAAUGAGGCUUCCUUCAGUUUGGCGGGUUUCCCGCCGAAGGAAGCCGAGAUCCGAAAGUUUUAAAAGAUCUCCUCAAAAGUAGGGUUAGGC